CGGACGCGUGGGUGGAAAUCCAGACUGCUUCUAUUUCUUAGCCUUUAUGAUUGUUGUGAGAGUCAAUAGGGAUAUGCAGGGUGUUCUUCAUGGUAUAGGACAUGGGUUUAGGGGCACGUACCCUACCAUGAUAUAGCUGAGUCAUAUGGUCAUUUCUAUCUUUAGCCUGUUCAGACCCCUUCAUGCUGAUUUCAAUAAGUGAAUACAUCAAG
RNAcentral lists this unclassified non-coding RNA (212 nucleotides) under Mus musculus (house mouse). Its description in RNAcentral is "partial derived from hnRNA or mRNA fragment, or novel small non-messenger RNA without known sequence-or structural motifs". The record is from RNAcentral. Lineage: Eukaryota; Metazoa; Chordata; Mammalia; Rodentia; Muridae.